RNAcentral lists this ribosomal RNA (305 nucleotides) under uncultured bacterium. Its description in RNAcentral is "bacterial SSU rRNA". It matches the Rfam family "Bacterial small subunit ribosomal RNA", at positions 337 to 640 of the family's 1533-position model. The record is from RNAcentral.
CCCUACGGGAGGCAGCAGUGAGGAAUAUUGGUCAAUGGGCGCGAGCCUGAACCAGCCAAGUCGCGUGAGGGAAGACGGUCCUAUGGAUAGUAAACCUCUUUUGUCGGGGAGCAAAAGACGCCACGCGUGGCGUUCCGAGAGUACCCGGAGAAAAAGCAUCGGCUAACUCCGUGCCAGCAGCCGCGGUAAUACGGAGGAUGCGAGCGUUAUCCGGAUUUAUUGGGUUUAAAGGGUGCGCAGGCGGAAGAUCAAGUCAGCGGUAAAAUUGAGAGGCUCAACCUCUUCGAGCCGUUGAAACUGGUUUU